This is a non-coding RNA of Cinara cedri, 573 nucleotides long. NCBI's taxonomy places the organism in Eukaryota, Metazoa, Arthropoda, Insecta, Hemiptera, Aphididae. The record is from the annotation of a GenBank genome assembly.
UUUAUUUGUCUUACGACUUUUUCCGUUUUGAGCGUUCCGUGAAUUUUUGAAAAUCCAAUGUUGAGUUGACCACGUAUUUGUGUCGGGUAUAGACAUUUCUUUUAUCAGAUAUUUAUCAUCCGAUCGUAAAACACACUGAAUAUCUAAAAUAGCGAAGACAUUGUUGAGCACGUCUUUCUCACACGAUGGAUCUGUUUGAACUGAAUUUAGGUGAUAGAUUCGUUGGUAGGAGUAAUAUGACUACUACUUUAUUUAUUUAUUUAUUGUGGAAUACGCUGCAUACUAUGGAUAUGGUAUUUUGAUUGGCGCUUCAAUAUUUUUAAUUUUUAUCACGAUUUCAUCAGAUUUUUUGUUGAGAGCGANUAAUUUUCUUUCUUGUAUUUCCACCCACUCGGUUAAUUAGUUUUCUUGUAUUUUCAUCCACUCGGUUAUUUUCACUAUUUCUUCUAAUGUAUUAAUUGUUGCUAUGAGACCAUCGAUCAUCUUAUUUCUUUCACCCUCUAAAGUACUACCAAACACGUCCAUGGUCAAAGUAUGACUAGUGUCAUUUUUUCAAAACACUUGCAUUUAUCC